RNAcentral lists this unclassified non-coding RNA (234 nucleotides) under fungal sp. RNAcentral's name for it is "partial internal transcribed spacer region". The stretch from base 1 to 46 matches the Rfam family "Eukaryotic small subunit ribosomal RNA", at positions 1786 to 1831 of the family's 1831-position model. Lineage: Eukaryota; Fungi. The record is from RNAcentral.
AAGUCGUAACAAGGUAACCGUAGGUGAACCUGCGGUUGGAUCAUUAACAAAUUCAAUCAAAAAUUGAGGGAAACCUCUUUUUUUACACACAAUGUGAACUAUUUAUUGUCUCUGGUGGUUCUUUUAGAUUUAUUUCUAAUCCCACCUAUUAUAAAACUUUAUUUAUUGGCCUUUAUAUCUUAAAAAAAAAGUUAAAUUAAAAAACAACUUUUGGCAACGGAUCUCUAGGCUCUU